CCUUUUAACCCAAAACUUAAAAUUUCAUCAAAGAACGGCCUCCUCCUGGCUGUUCUUUUUUUUUCCUGGCUCUGCCACACCA
RNAcentral lists this unclassified non-coding RNA (82 nucleotides) under Sitana ponticeriana (Pondichry fan throated lizard). RNAcentral describes it as "tRNA-Trp". Lineage: Eukaryota; Metazoa; Chordata; Lepidosauria; Squamata; Agamidae. The record is from RNAcentral.